RNAcentral lists this ribosomal RNA (404 nucleotides) under uncultured prokaryote. RNAcentral's name for it is "bacterial SSU rRNA". It matches the Rfam family "Bacterial small subunit ribosomal RNA", at positions 355 to 776 of the family's 1533-position model. The record is from RNAcentral. RNAcentral also lists the same sequence under 1 other name.
UGGGGGAUAUUGCGCAAUGGGGGCAACCCUGACGCAGCAAUGCCGCGUGAAGGAAGAAGGUCUUCGGAUCGUAAACUUUUGUCUUUGGGGACGAUAAUGACGGUACCUGAGGAGGAAGCCACGGCUAACUACGUGCCAGCAGCCGCGGUAAUACGUAGGUGGCAAGCGUUGUCCGGAUUUACUGGGUGUAAAGGGCGUGUAGGCGGGAUGGUAGGUCAGAUGUGAAAUACCCAGGCUUAACUUGGGGGCUGCAUUUGAAACCGCCGUUCUUGAGUGUCGGAGAGGGAAGCGGAAUUCCUAGUGUAGCGGUGAAAUGCGUAGAUAUUAGGAGGAACACCAGUGGCGAAGGCGGCUUUCUGGACGAUAACUGACGCUGAGGCGCGAAAGCGUGGGGAGCAAACAGG